UAAGGAAUAUUGGACAAUGGAGGCAACUCUGAUCCAGCCAUGCCGCGUGAAGGAAUAAGGCCCUAUGGGUUGUAAACUUCUUUUAGACGGGACAAAACCCCUUUACGUGUAAAGGGUUGAUGGUACUGUCAGAAUAAGCAUCGGCUAACUUCGUGCCAGCAGCCGCGGUAAUACGAAGGAUGCAAGCGUUAUCCGGAAUUAUUGGGUUUAAAGGGUGCGUAGGCGGACUAAUAAGUCAGUGGUGAAAGCCUGCAGCUUAACUGCAGAAUUGCCAUUGAUACUGUUAGUCUUGAGUACAGUUGAGGNAGGCGGAAUGUGUCAUGUAGCGGUGAAAUGCUUAGAUAUGACACAGAACACCGAUUGCGAAGGCAGCUUGCUAAGCUGUAACUGACGCUGAGGCACGAAAGCGUGGGGAGCAAACAG
This 423-nucleotide ribosomal RNA is filed under the name uncultured bacterium. RNAcentral's name for it is "bacterial SSU rRNA". It matches the Rfam family "Bacterial small subunit ribosomal RNA", at positions 355 to 775 of the family's 1533-position model. The record is from RNAcentral.